This 468-nucleotide ribosomal RNA is filed under the name uncultured bacterium. RNAcentral describes it as "partial 16S ribosomal RNA". It matches the Rfam family "Bacterial small subunit ribosomal RNA", at positions 28 to 507 of the family's 1533-position model. The record is from RNAcentral.
GACGAACGCUGGCGGCGUGCUUAACACAUGCAAGUCGAACGGAAAGGCCCUGCUUUUGUGGGGUGCUCGAGUGGCGAACGGGUGAGUAACACGUGAGUAACCUGCCCUUGACUUUGGGAUAACUUCAGUAAACUGGGGCUAAUACCGGAUAGGAGCUCCUGCUGCAUGGUGGGGGUUGGAAAGUUUCGGCGGUUGGGGAUGGACUCGCGGCUUAUCAGCUUGUUGGUGGGGUAGUGGCUUACCAAGGCUUUGACGGGUAGCCGGCCUGAGAGGGUGACCGGCCACAUUGGGACUGAGAUACGGCCCAGACUCCUACGGGAGGAAGCAGUGGGGAAUAUUGCACAAUGGGCGGAAGCCUGAUGCAGCAACGCCGCGUGCGGGAUGACGGCCUUCGGGUUGUAAACCGCUUUCGCCUGUGACGAAGCGUGAGUGACGGUAAUGGGUAAAGAAGCACCGGCUAACUACGUG